CUAAAACAAUGUCGAAUUAAUCUUCUAUAAAAGCAAAAAAAAAAAAAAUUUCCUCAAAAUAUCCUGCUCCAUUUUCUCUUGAGAGUCACUUUUUUUUGCUUUCUUUCUAAGGAUUUUAUCAAAAACUUUAAGAGAUUCCAAAAACUGAUUAACUUUUUUAAAUUUUGACACCGUGAAAUUCAAAAGGGCAUUAGAAUUUUCAAAUGAAAUCAAGAAAUCUUGCAAACAUAAAAAAUGUCAGCCUCGUUCUCUUACGACCAUCGUGAACUUUAUCAAAAAAUUAAAAAUAUUCAAAUGAAAAUUCCAAAAAAUACUUAGAUUUCAACAAAGAUUAAAACAAAUUUCAGAAUAAUCCUAAACCCUAGGCCAGAAAUCAAAUUCCAAAACCUAGAAAUUUAAAAAAAAAAUCCUCUUGAACACAAAUAAUCCCCUAACUUAUAAGAAUCACUCAAAAUCCAAACAAAACCUUAGAAUAAAAAAUAAACAAAAAUUGAAAACUCGUAUAAACCCAAAAUUUGUUUUCUUUAAAUUGAUUGCUUCCCAAGAUUUAAAAAAACAAGAAAACUCUUCUUCUCUCUAUCUUUUUUUCUCCCUUAUUUUUCAAUAUGUGAACUUGAGUUUCAUUAAUAGGGUUCUUUUAACAAAAUUUUAGAGAUUUAUCAUGCUUGAAUCUUGAGAUUUUAUUAUAGUUUGAUUGUGGUCAACUAUUGUGUGAUUGAUUUUGUUUCUG
Molecule: long non-coding RNA, 730 nt
Filed under: Durio zibethinus
Lineage: Eukaryota; Viridiplantae; Streptophyta; Magnoliopsida; Malvales; Malvaceae
Description: long non-coding RNA (DZIB_LNC001655)
Source: RNAcentral